Acanthosepion pharaonis is the source of this 99-nucleotide non-coding RNA. NCBI's taxonomy places the organism in Eukaryota, Metazoa, Mollusca, Cephalopoda, Sepiida, Sepiidae. The record is from the annotation of a GenBank genome assembly.
AUUGUAACACCAGUUCCCAUACAAUCAUUGAAGCUAAGCAAUGUCAAGCCUCAUUAGUAUUUAGAUGGUUGACUGUUUGGGAAUACUAGGUGCUGUAAG